RNAcentral lists this ribosomal RNA (251 nucleotides) under uncultured prokaryote. RNAcentral's name for it is "partial 16S rRNA". It matches the Rfam family "Bacterial small subunit ribosomal RNA", at positions 525 to 775 of the family's 1533-position model. The record is from RNAcentral.
ACGUAAGGGGCAAUCUUUUUUCUUAAUUAUUGGGCGUAAAGGGUACGUAGGCGGUUUGGUAAGCCCGGCGUGAAAUCCUGCAGCUUAACUGUAGAGCUGCGCUGGGAACUGUGAAACUUGAGUCAUGGAAGGGAAGUUAGAAUUCCAGGUGUAGGGGUGAAAUCUGUAGAUAUCUGGAAGAAUACCGGUGGCGAAGGCGAACUUCUGGCCAAUGACUGACGCUGAGGUACGAAAGUGCGGGGAGCAAACAG